This 213-nucleotide long non-coding RNA is filed under the name Elaeis guineensis (African oil palm). Its description in RNAcentral is "long non-coding RNA (EGUI_LNC035281)". Lineage: Eukaryota; Viridiplantae; Streptophyta; Magnoliopsida; Arecales; Arecaceae. The record is from RNAcentral.
ACCUCUUUAGGAUUUAAAUUUCUCUUCUCUUUCUUCUUCGUUUGGAUGGUUCGAGUUUAUCUUAGCUUCAAACUCUCUUUCCCAAACCGACCGUCUAUCUCCCCAAAAUCUUUGCUUUUUCUUAAAAUCGCUUCUACUUUACCCCUCAUCAAAUCUCCUAGGUUGUUUGCAAGUCUCUCCUAUCCAAAAUGGCUCCCAAAUCAAAGCUACCAC